CUAGCUUGAUGGCCCUCUCUAGCUCAGUUGGUAGAGCAUGGCACUUUAGCACAACUUAACUCCUGUAAGGCUGUCAAACAUGUCCAAUCACCAUCCAGUUGUCCAUGUUUCAUAAUCAUGUAUAGCUUCUGCUUCUUUGAAAAAAGGACUCAGCCAUUAGUGUCUAUUGGUUGACUUAGCCAACCACCUGGGGGGGAAAAAAAAGCGACCAGACAAUGCACAUCGAGACAGAACCUUCUCCAACUUUUUCCUGGACUAUCAGCUUAUCAUAUAACAAGGUGUGGGGGAUGGGUAGUGGGGUGAGCUGCUGGAGAGUUCCGCCAGUGCCUGCAUCUGCUGUUCCAUUGAGGACUGCAUUGAACUUGUUGUCUAUGUAGAAGACAGCUGUCAGUAGUGGCUGGCUAUAGCAGGAGAUGCGGUCUCUGUGAGGAGGCAUCAGACUGGAGUUUGUUCUGAGAGUAGAGAGAAGCUUUUGUCCCCAGUCUGUUUGAGCCUUCAGACUACACGUCAGUAACAGUUCCACAGACAUGUGUCUACUCUCAUUUAGGCUCUUUCUGACAGAUGGCCGAGGAACAUCAUGCCAAAGAUGAUCACAUGUCAGGGAUGGUUGAUGUUGAGGGAAUCUGUCCUUCUGUUUCUCUCUCUCUCCCUUUCUCACGUAUGCACAUAUGCACACAUGCGCACACACAUUCACACACACACAAACACACAUACUCCCUCACAUGUAAUUAACCUCUCUAGGGUCGGCGGGACGAAAUCGUCCCACCUACGUAGCAGCCAGUGGAAUCCUGU
RNAcentral lists this long non-coding RNA (792 nucleotides) under Salmo salar (Atlantic salmon). Its description in RNAcentral is "lncRNA (ENSSSAG00000096322.1)". Lineage: Eukaryota; Metazoa; Chordata; Actinopteri; Salmoniformes; Salmonidae. The record is from RNAcentral.